GAUGAACGCUGGCGGCGUGCCUAAUACAUGCAAGUCGAGCGAACGGACGAGAAGCUUGCUUUUCUGAUGUUAGCGGCGGAAGGGUGAGUAACACGUGGAUAACCUACCUAUAAGACUGGGAUAACUUCGGGAAACCGGAGCUAAUACCGGAUAAUAUUUUGAACCGCAUGGUUCAAAAGUGAAAGACGGUCUUGCUGCCACUUAUAGAUGGAUCCGCGCUGCAUUAGCUAGUUGGUAAGGUAACGGCUUACCAAGGCAACGAUGCAUAGCCGACCUGAGAGGGUGAUCGGCCACACUGGAACUGAGACACGGUCCAGACUCCUACGGGAGGCAGCAGUAGGGAAUCUUCCGCAAUGGGCGAAAGCCUGACGGAGCAACGCCGCGUGAGUGAUGAAGGUCUUCGGAUCGUAAAACUCUGUUAUUAGGGAAGAACAUAUGUGUAAGUAACUGUGCACAUCUUGACGGUACCUAAUCAGAAAGCCACGGCUAACUACGUG
This 497-nucleotide ribosomal RNA is filed under the name uncultured bacterium. Its description in RNAcentral is "partial 16S ribosomal RNA". It matches the Rfam family "Bacterial small subunit ribosomal RNA", at positions 28 to 507 of the family's 1533-position model. The record is from RNAcentral.